This 73-nucleotide transfer RNA is filed under the name Pseudomonadota bacterium. RNAcentral describes it as "tRNA-Ala". It matches the Rfam family "tRNA". From Rfam's summary of the family: Transfer RNA (tRNA) molecules are approximately 80 nucleotides in length. Their secondary structure includes four short double-helical elements and three loops (D, anti-codon, and T loops). Further hydrogen bonds mediate the characteristic L-shaped molecular structure. tRNAs have two regions of fundamental functional importance: the anti-codon, which is responsible for specific mRNA codon recognition, and the 3' end, to which the tRNAs corresponding amino acid is attached (by aminoacyl-tRNA synthetases). tRNAs cope with the degeneracy of the genetic code in two manners: having more than one tRNA (with a specific anti-codon) for a particular amino acid; and 'wobble' base-pairing, i.e. permitting non-standard base-pairing at the 3rd anti-codon position. The record is from RNAcentral. Lineage: Bacteria; Pseudomonadati; Pseudomonadota. RNAcentral also lists the same sequence under 4 other names.
GGGCCUGUAGCUCAGUUGGUAGAGCACUCGCUUUGCAUGCGAGUUGUCAGGGGUUCGAAUCCCCUCAGGUCCA